CGGACGGGGGAGUAAUGCUUGGGAAUCUAGCUUAUGAGGGGGGAUAACUACGGGAAACUGUAGCUAAUACCGCGUAAUAUCGGAAGAUUAAAGUGUGGGACCUUCGGGCCACAUGCCAUAGGAUGAGCCCAAGUGGGAUUAGGUAGUUGGUGAGGUAAAGGCUCACCAAGCCGACGAUCUCUAGCUGGUCUGAGAGGAUGACCAGCCACACUGGGACUGAGACACGGCCCAG
This 232-nucleotide ribosomal RNA is filed under the name uncultured bacterium. RNAcentral's name for it is "partial 16S ribosomal RNA". It matches the Rfam family "Bacterial small subunit ribosomal RNA", at positions 99 to 334 of the family's 1533-position model. The record is from RNAcentral.